GGCAACGUGGCCGAGUGGUUAAGGCGCUGGAAUUAGGAAUUUCAUAUUCGAAAUCCAGUGGGAAACCGCGUGAGUUCGAACCUCACCGUUGUCA
Molecule: non-coding RNA, 94 nt
Organism: Crepidotus variabilis
Lineage: Eukaryota; Fungi; Basidiomycota; Agaricomycetes; Agaricales; Crepidotaceae
Source: the annotation of a GenBank genome assembly